Molecule: long non-coding RNA, 840 nt
Filed under: Crocodylus porosus (Australian saltwater crocodile)
Lineage: Eukaryota; Metazoa; Chordata; Crocodylia; Crocodylidae
Description: lncRNA (ENSCPRG00005013020.1)
Source: RNAcentral
AUGAAAGCAGGACCACAAAACCAGAGGGCUGCAAGGAGCAAUGUAGACCUUCCUCAGAAAACCCUGAAUCUGCACAAAUGGCCACCGAUCCAAUAUCCUAAGAAUGAAGGAGUAAGUUCGGGUACUUUGCAAGCUCCUACCACAGGGACAGCUGUCCCAGCCCCAGUGGAUACUCCACAGAGUGUAACUGAGAAAGACCUCGCAAAGGUUCCUAGGAAAAAGCCACUCCCGCAAGCAAGACCACUGCAGUCGAAACCAGUCAAACCCAGUCGCCCUCCUGUAGUGGACCUAGAGAAGUUCAGGAAGGCCCGAGCACAUGCUUCUCCUAUACCAAAGCCACAGAGAGAUGUGCGGCAUGGUUACUCGAAGCCAGAUCCUGCUUCCUUUGGACCAGUUCUACCUAAAGCUGCUCCAUUUCCUCAUGUCUCAAGUUUAGCACGAGAACAAGAUGAGAUAUACGAUGAUGUAGAACCAGUUGGGCCAGUCAACAAGGGCAAACAGCUCCUAUUAUUCCCCAAUUCCCAGCCCACAGCCUCUUUCCAUUCUGGACAAGGUGGAAGGACUGGUCUGAUCCCUGGCAGAUUUCCUCCAGACUUCGCCACACUGAGUUCGAAGGAGAAAUCCGCGUUUUGACACGGAUGAUGAUCGAUCCCGCUACGACUGAGAAAAAAGGAGGGGGGAAGAAUCUUCCAGUCAAACGAGGAGAAAUUGUGGAUGUCAUUCAGUUUACAAGUAGUGAGCAAAUGCUCUGCCGAAACAGCCGGUGGAAAUGUAAGUUUGAAGUCCAUCCAGUUCUGUAUGUGGCCAUCUGCCAGUGGAAGGAGACAGAGCCCCACAUGA